RNAcentral lists this transfer RNA (66 nucleotides) under Laodelphax striatellus (small brown planthopper). RNAcentral describes it as "tRNA-Ile". The record is from RNAcentral. Lineage: Eukaryota; Metazoa; Arthropoda; Insecta; Hemiptera; Delphacidae.
AGAAAGAUGCCUGAUUAAAGGAGUAUUCUGAUAGAAUAAAUCAAGAAAUAAAUUUUUCUCUUUCUA